UCAGAAUUUCCACUUAUCUCCCGUGCCAAAGUGGAGCCUCUUAACUGCUCACUGGGUUCACCCCCUUCCUCCCGAGAUGCUGGUGCUGAUUCAGUGCUCAGGAUAGCUUCCCCCAGGUCUCUCCUCCUCUUUGCCUGCCUUCACAAUUUCCAGAAAACUCGAAGUUAAAUCCCAUAUUUGAUCCUGUAAACUGUAUUUGUUUAUUACUUUUUAUUUUCUCUACAAUAACAAAAACCAUUACUAUGAAAUGAAUGAAGUCCCACGGAACCCAGAUAAUGCAGAACUUUGUGACCUUGGACUGUGGAUUCAACGGAUCCUGGAACAGAGAUCCUCUGCCUGCUUCCCCAAUUUCCCCAGCAUACACAAUGGAAUAAUACACAGUCACAAGCUACUGAAAGCAUCCUGCCUGCACGGGCUGAGUCUGGCACGCUCCCUGUGGCAUAUUCGAUAUGCCAAAUACUGUAACAAUAAUAGGUCUCAUUCCCCUGACCCUGAAAGAACCUGCAAUCAUUGGGAAAAGACAAGUAAGAAGAGGUUUCUAAAAUCUCAGCUCUGGGAGGAAUCGAGAUGUUACUGGCACCCGCUUGAGUAAUUCAACUAUCAAUGGGAUGACAGUGAUGCAGUGAUACUAUUAUUAAAUAUAGACACAUAUAAGGAUGUGGAUAUAUAGUAUAAACAACUCAUGUACUGUGGUAGCAAGACAGAUCCAUUUAAAAGCCAGGAAAGUAUCUGUCCUCAGCUCAUUUUUAUUUGUUUCCAUGUCUUUACAUUAAUUUUAUAGUUCUCUAUCUCUUAAAAUUUUUCUCAAAUACUUAGAACUUAGGACAACAUCAACUCUAAAAGAACAAGACUGUAUUAUGUUGCAGAGCAACUGAGGGAAACGUAAUUUGGUCUUAUGAGGCCUGAGUGAAAAAAAUUCUUUGUAUCAUUCUAUUUAUGUGAUCUCAGUUCUUAACACUACCAGCCAUCACUUGGACCAUUGAAACUAUAUUUUGACAUCAA
Molecule: long non-coding RNA, 1002 nt
Organism: Sorex fumeus (smoky shrew)
Lineage: Eukaryota; Metazoa; Chordata; Mammalia; Eulipotyphla; Soricidae
Exons: 2
Source: RefSeq, a predicted model, not a curated record